AUCCGGGAUGCGCCGAGCUCUGCCACUUCCCGGAGUCCGUUCUUUCUCCGAGGCAGAGACGGGGGACCCAGAGUCUCCGGGCCAGGCUUUUUGCCGGCCCUUGGGGUGAAGCCGCAGCGUGAUGCGCGGCCGGAUGACCUCAUCCGAACCCGACAGCUAACUCCGCAGGCGCCGAGAGGUAAUCA
RNAcentral lists this small RNA (185 nucleotides) under Paenarthrobacter aurescens. RNAcentral's name for it is "Arthrobacter aurescens c-di-AMP sequence". It matches the Rfam family "c-di-AMP riboswitch aptamer (ydaO/yuaA leader)". From Rfam's summary of the family: This family represents a conserved RNA structure found upstream of the ydaO and yuaA genes in Bacillus subtilis and related genes in other bacteria. The ydaO/yuaA element is thought to act as a genetic "off" switch for the ydaO and yuaA genes in its native state. Lineage: Bacteria; Bacillati; Actinomycetota; Actinomycetes; Micrococcales; Micrococcaceae. The record is from RNAcentral.